This 799-nucleotide long non-coding RNA is filed under the name Equus caballus (horse). RNAcentral's name for it is "lncRNA (ENSECAG00000045318.1)". The record is from RNAcentral. Lineage: Eukaryota; Metazoa; Chordata; Mammalia; Perissodactyla; Equidae.
CCCUGAUGUCCAAGACAGGGCACUGCUUAAGUCUAUAUUCUAAAUCUGAAGUAGAUUUCAUAAUGAAAUAUCAAAGAAUGUUCUCUUCUCUUUCAUAGUGAUAACCAUUGGGAACAUAAAUCUAGCUCUGGUUUACCAUACUUUCUUCCCUUAACAGGUUAGAGAUAAAGAACUCCAAAGACCGGAAAUAGCUACAGGUGAAAACACAGAGAACUGAAAGAAUCCUAUCUGACUUCUUUUUGUUUACACAGCUGUUUCAAAUGUAUGCUAUAUCAAACAAGGAAUCAAAAGUUCAGAGAGUCAAGAUAACUACAUGGCCACAUCUCACUCAUUUCUCUGAUGUCUUUUACCAACGUGACUGGGCUGAUUUCCAUCUCUUUACACUUGUCCUAAAUUUCUUCUCCCUUCAAGAUUCUGUAAAAGGCACCAGGCUCAUUUUCUGCUAUCUGUAAUUCGAAUGUCUCCCUCACUCCUCCUUAGAGGGAUGACAUCCCAAAUAUAUUACCUUUGCCCAAGACUAUGUCGUAGGUGAUUCUGCUUUUGGAGAAACACAAUCUAAGCCCCCCAGUACAUAGUUGUAUAUUCUUAGUUGUGGAUCCUUCUAGUUGUGGCAUGUGGGAUGCUGCCUCAGCAUGGCUUGAUGAGCGGUGCCAUGUCUGCGCCCAGGAUUUGAAUCAAUGAAACACUGGGCAGCCUGCAGCAGAGUGCCUGAACUUAACCACUCAGCCACGGGGCUGGCCCCUCCAGCUUUAUUGAGAUGACUGAAUUCAAAAAGGGAGUGAGAACUGCAUCGAAAACA